RNAcentral lists this unclassified non-coding RNA (212 nucleotides) under Glomeraceae sp. Its description in RNAcentral is "partial contains 5.8S ribosomal RNA and internal transcribed spacer 2". The stretch from base 1 to 71 matches the Rfam family "5.8S ribosomal RNA", at positions 84 to 154 of the family's 154-position model. Lineage: Eukaryota; Fungi; Glomeromycota; Glomeromycetes; Glomerales; Glomeraceae. The record is from RNAcentral.
GUGAAUCAUCGAAUCUUUGAACGCAAAUUGCACUCCCUGGUAUUCCGGGGAGCAUGCCUGUUUGAGGGUCGUUAGACUAAAAAAUCGAUGCGUCGGCUUUUUUUUUAGGGGUGAUUGGGUCGGAAUUGAGCCGUCAUCGAAAUGUUAAUUCAUGUCAAAGUAGCGUGAACUUUAUCCAUCUGGUUCGUUUGAAGCGUAUUAAUGAGCAUUUA